CCCUUAGAUGUUCUGGGCCGCACGCGCGCUACACUGAUGCAUUCAACGAGCCUAUCCUUGACCGACAGGUCCGGGUAAUCUUUGAAUCUGCAUCGUGACGGGGAUAGAUUAUUGCAAUUAUUAAUCUUCAACGAGGAAUGCCUAGUAGGCGCAAGUCAUCAGCUUGCGUCGAUUACGUCCCUGCCCUUUGUACACACCGCCCGUCGCUCCUACCGAUUGAGCGAUCCGGUAAAUGUUUUGGAUUGGUGCCGGGGCGGCUAGCUGCCGGUCGCUACGAAAUUUUGUGAACCUUAUCGCUUAGAGGAAGGAAAAGUCGUAACA
RNAcentral lists this ribosomal RNA (321 nucleotides) under uncultured eukaryote. RNAcentral's name for it is "partial 18S ribosomal RNA". It matches the Rfam family "Eukaryotic small subunit ribosomal RNA", at positions 1470 to 1796 of the family's 1831-position model. The record is from RNAcentral.